This 510-nucleotide ribosomal RNA is filed under the name uncultured bacterium. RNAcentral describes it as "bacterial SSU rRNA". It matches the Rfam family "Bacterial small subunit ribosomal RNA", at positions 28 to 526 of the family's 1533-position model. The record is from RNAcentral.
GACGAACGCUGGCGGCGUGCUUAACACAUGCAAGUGGAGCGAGAACCGGGGCUUGCCCCGGGGCAGAGCCGCGAACGGGUGAGUAACACGUGGGUAACCCACCCGAUGACCGGGACAACCCGAGGAAACUCGGGCUAAUACCGGAUGUGCUCCUUGACCUUGAGGUCAAGGCGUAAAGAUAGCUUCGGCCUUCGCAUCGGGACGGGCCCGCGGCCCAUUAGCUUGUUGGUGGGGUAAAGGCCUACCAAGGCGACGAUGGGUAGCUGGUCUGAGAGGACGAUCAGCCACACUGGGACUGAGACACGGCCCAGACUCCUACGGGAGGCAGCAGUGGGGAAUCUUGCGCAAUGCGCGAAAGCGUGACGCAGCAACGCCGCGUGGGGGAAGAAGGCCUUCGGGUCGUAAACCCCUUUCAGGAGGGACGAAGCCAGGGCGGUGAAUAGCCGACCCUGGUGACGGUACCUCCAGAAGAAGCCCCGGCUAACUACGUGCCAGCAGCCGCAGUAACAC